Molecule: ribosomal RNA, 586 nt
Filed under: uncultured beta proteobacterium
Lineage: Bacteria; Pseudomonadati; Pseudomonadota; Betaproteobacteria
Description: bacterial SSU rRNA
Rfam family: Bacterial small subunit ribosomal RNA
Source: RNAcentral
ACUCCUACGGGAGGCAGCAGUGGGGAAUUUUGGACAAUGGGGGCAACCCUGAUCCAGCCAUGCCGCGUGAGUGAAGAAGGCCUUCGGGUUGUAAAGCUCUUUCGGACGGAACGAAAUGGUUACGGUGAAUAUCCGUGACUGAUGACGGUACCGUAAUAAGAAGCACCGGCUAACUACGUGCCAGCAGCCGCGGUAAUACGUAGGGUGCGAGCGUUAAUCGGAAUUACUGGGCGUAAAGCGUGCGCAGGCGGUUCGCCAAGUCAGGUGUGAAAUCCCCGGGCUUAACCUGGGAAUUGCGCUUGAAACUAGCGGGCUUGAGUGUGGCAGAGGGGGGUGGAAUUCCACGUGUAGCAGUGAAAUGCGUAGAGAUGUGGAGGAACACCGAUGGCGAAGGCAGCCCCCUGGGUCAACACUGACGCUCAUGCACGAAAGCGUGGGGAGCAAACAGGAUUAGAUACCCUGGUAGUCCACGCCUUAAACUAUGAUAACUCGAUGUUGGCGAUACACUGCCAGCGUCCAAGCGAAAGCGUUAAGUUAACCGCCUGGGGAGUACGGUCGCAAGAUUAAAACUCAAAGGAAUUGACGG